Molecule: long non-coding RNA, 2042 nt
Organism: Mauremys reevesii (Reeves's turtle)
Lineage: Eukaryota; Metazoa; Chordata; Testudines; Geoemydidae
Exons: 4
Source: RefSeq, a predicted model, not a curated record
AGAGUUCAGUUUAGCUUAAGGUUAUGAGUAUUUGCCUUAGAAGAAGCAGGAGCCUUGAUAGUUACAGCUGUUGCUGGAAACCACUCUUGUUGGACAAAUAGUUAGUUAUAUUACACAGCCAUUUAUUUCUAUCGUUCUAUUAAUGGAUUAAAAAAACAUACCAAAUUUAAGCAAUGAAUACACACAACCCUAAACCGUACACUUUUGCUCCCAACCUCCAAAUCCUGAGUCUGAACCUUUCCUACUGAUUAUAGUUCAUAAAUAAAUAAAUAUUAAGAUAAACUUAUUUUGAAUAUGAUAGGCAAAGUUGUUUGGCUACCCUCCAUCCCCAUUUUGUGUCCGUAUUGUAUUUUUUCUUCUCUCUGUGUUUAGGACAAUACGGGUAUUGGGAGUAAAUCUCCCCUCACUGCAUUUAGUACCCCUUGUUCUACCCACUUUGCAGUUUGCUUUCGUCUUUCCAAAUUGAUGAAUUUCAUUCACCCGUUUGAUCAUAGUUUGAAUUUACAUUUAAAAAAACCCACCAAUAAAGAUAUAAAGUAGCCAUAUGAGGAGCACAAAGCAGCUAGGAUUUUUGGAGUUCGGUUCAUCAAUCAAGCCUUUGGAAACUUUUAAGAGUCAUAGAUUGGGCUAAUAAUAGCUGCAAACAUCACGGCUCCACGGAACACCUGAAAGCACUUUGCAAACCAUAAAUUGAGAACCACUGGGGAAGGGGAAGAGUGAAUUUUUCACCUUUGCUGCUGCUAUUGUUUUGCUGGAGAUAGUUUUCUACAACAUUGGAUUAACAGGGCAGCAACAAUUCUGUUUACAUUGUGAUGAUUAUCAUCAAAAUAGAAUAGAGAAACUUAUUUUUCUCAUCUAAAAUAUUGUCCAAUGCUCCAGAAAUGGCAGGCCCUGAAAAAGGCAGAGGAUCUCUUACAGCAUUUUCAUUACAUUUAUUUAUUUCCUGUUCCUGAUGUGACAUAUUUGUCUUUGUUUGGGGUGGGUAGGAAAGAAUUUUGCUCUGUGUUUCAGUGAGACUUUUACAAUCAUUCACUGUUCAGACCAGGCUGGGCAGAAGGGUAGUAUAAUGAUUUCAAAGAGGGUAGGGCUUUUCGUUUGAUUGAUCAAACCUUAUCAGAUGCCUGUUGAAUAUGAGUGAUCACUUAUAAUACGAUUUUCCCCAAACCACACAAAGACACUUGUGCUCAAAAUUUGGAAAAUUGUGAUUGAUCGAAAUCUUUGGUUAUAAUGGAUAAUGUUUGCAACUUUAACUAUAGUAGUGCUAUUAACACCCAUUUUAAUGUCUCAUUACAGUUAAAUAAGAGCUGGCUUUCUGCUUGAUUGAAAUGUAGUGGAUAAAUGUGGCAGGUACUUGCAGCUGCUAACAAUAUUAAGUUGCUACUCCUCCAGCAUUUUCCUUCUAUCUUUACACUUGUGCUAUAGCCACAAGUCUUAACCUGAAUUUACUGCAUUGUGUUAAUUUUAUAUUCUCCUCAUGUUAGUCUCCGAAGACUUUCCAGCAUAUCACAAUAUCUUUUUUCAGUAACGUGCAUAUAACUUUUUGCAAAUGCUCAGAUUAGAUUUACUGGUUGUGUUGCUUUGCCUAUUAGUCUCUGUUUACAUAUGUCAAGCUCAUACACCAAGCAAUACCCAGAUGUUAAGACAGAAGAGGAGAUAGAAUGUCAGAGGGAAAUUAGGGCAAAAAACAAAAGCAGAAGUCAAGGCUAAUUCAGGAUUGCACCGUAUCAAGAGGGUAAAACCAGCCCUGAUUAUACUUGGAUGAGAAAAGGCAGACAGAGGACUUGGCAUCGACUUUGAAGUUUGACUGAGGAGAAGCUGAAUGAGAUGAUACCCAUGUGUUAGAACCCUGAGUGUCAGGUUAAAGAUGAUAACAUGUUCCUGAUUCUCCAGUGGUAUGGGAAUGGAGACCAGUUUAAGUGGCAUUGUGUCAUAUUGCUAGAGUUCAUGCUUAAACUUUGAUCCUGCCACAGAUUCUGUUUUUAAAUGCACUGUACAAAUAUAUCACAUUAUCACAUUAAAUAUAUUUUUGUUUGCCCAAGAAA